AAGAGUUAUAACAACUCCCAAACCCAUGUGAACUUACCUUCUGUUGCCUCGGCAGGAUCGACCGCCGCGGGAGAGCCUACCCUGUAGGUGAUCCCGCCGGUGGCCGGCCAAGUCCUGCCGGCGGCCCACGAAACUCUGUUUAUUACAUGUCAUUCUGAAAUCAUAACUAAAUAAGUUA
Molecule: unclassified non-coding RNA, 178 nt
Filed under: uncultured Xylaria
Lineage: Eukaryota; Fungi; Ascomycota; Sordariomycetes; Xylariales; Xylariaceae
Description: sequence contains ITS1
Source: RNAcentral